UUGACCUCAAAUCAGGUAGGACUACCCGCUGAACUUAAGCAUAUCAAUAAGCGGAGGAAAAGAAACUAACGAGGAUUCCCCUAGUAACUGCGAGUGAAGCGGGAAGAGCUCAAAGUUCAAAUCUG
This 125-nucleotide ribosomal RNA is filed under the name uncultured ectomycorrhiza (Basidiomycota). Its description in RNAcentral is "partial 28S ribosomal RNA". It matches the Rfam family "Eukaryotic large subunit ribosomal RNA", at positions 1 to 124 of the family's 3401-position model. The record is from RNAcentral. Lineage: Eukaryota; Fungi; Basidiomycota.